GAAAAUCUUGGCGUAGAUAUGGAGUAAAUAUUGAUGUCUCCAAAAUCUCCUCCAAAUUUAUACUAUGGCAUAAACAAGUUAAAUGUAGGUCUCUUCCUCACCAUCUAUCUUAGGUCUCUUUCUCAUAUUUUCCUCCAAUCUCUACUGCUGGGAAGGCAAGGGACAUGGAGGGGGAGAGAUCACCCCAAGUAGGCACAGGCUUGAAAGUCCAAGAUCAAGGUACCAGCAUCUGGUGAGGACUGCAAUCGACUUCCAAGAUGAUGCCUUGAAUGCCAUACCCACCAGAAGGGAGGUACACUGUGUGUCCUCACAUGGCAGAAGGCAGAAGGGAACAGAGAGACAGACGCCUUCCAUCAAGCCCUUUGAUUACAGCAUGAAUACAUAAAUGAGAGUGGAGCUUUCAUGACCUGAAUGCCUCCCCAAAGGCCCCACCUUCCAACACUGUUGCAGUGGGAUUAAUUUUCUAACAUAUGAAUUUUGGGGGACACAUUCAGACCAUAGCAGCAAAGCUGUAGACUAAUUGAAGAAUUAGUCUGUAGGCAUAUAAGUACAAUAAAAUGUUCUGAGAAAAGGUUGUGUAUGACACUGCAAUGUAGGAAGUGUGUUGAAUUUGUGCUUGUUGAGUAAAAAAGUAAAUCAUAUUUGCUAAAUAUUUUGUCUUCAUUAUCAACUGAUCUGUAUAAACAAUAAAAGUAUGUAUUAUCUU
This 706-nucleotide long non-coding RNA is filed under the name Pongo abelii (Sumatran orangutan). Its description in RNAcentral is "lincRNA". Lineage: Eukaryota; Metazoa; Chordata; Mammalia; Primates; Hominidae. The record is from RNAcentral.